GUCCUGGAAUUCCUGAGUGCUGGGAUUAAAGGCAGGUCCAUAUCCUUCAGUGAUGCUACUGAGCCACUCACGCGGGAGACUCCUUGAGUCUGGAGACAAAUCACAGGCAUCUACUCUAUCGUGCCCGUCACUUAUUUCUUCACAGGUCACACCAAAACUCUCGUCCCUUUCCCCUUUUAGAAACAGAUUAAUCUUUUUCCUUCCUCCUACUUCUCCCCCACUCUGCUACUUCUUCCCAAUCAUCCAAAGACACGAGGCAGAGUUUGCUUCCUUCCGCAUUUAUUGUACAACACAGGCAGAAGGUAGAAUUGGGGGCUCCAGGGCAGGCCAGUGGGGAGCUGGGGUAAGAAUGGUGCCCCACACUUCACUUAGCAUCAGAAGCUGGUUUCUCAAAGUUCAUAAAGCUGCUGAAGAAGUUCAUAAAAUCUUCUCUGGCUUUCUUGACCAGGGGUGUCAGCUGCUCUUGGGUCUUUUCAAAGUAAGCCCUAGGGUGGGGAAGCCCAGAGGUUGAUGUGAAGGGCCCCGAUCGCUGACAGGGUCUGUGUUGGUGGUGAAGGUCAGAGCUGACUGACCCAACCCAAGUUUCUAAGUGGUGCACCCUGAAGUACCCUGUAAAGUCUGGAAGAGGUUAGACCUUCCAUGCAGCCAGCAGGGCAUCAGACACUAACGACUAGAGUCCAAGGUCCACUUCCUGCUGCCCCCACCUGAGGAAUACACUGGAUGGAUCUACUGAGGUGAGGGAGGAAUUUUUCUUCCCGAUUUUUAAGCCUAAUCUCCAGGAACCCCAGCCUCUGAGUUAAGAUUCCCAGGAGAACGCCUAUCUUCCCAUUCUCUGCACCCCUGGAGCCCCUUGAGUCCUCUCCUAUAGACUUACCUGGCUUGGGUCUGGAUCUCCGUGCUCUUGGCCUUCUCCAUCAAGUCCUUGCCAUAGUCAGUCAUGGUCUGAAAAUACUGACUGAACAGGCUCUGCAGACCCGGCUCCUCUGCCUGU
Non-coding RNA from Myodes glareolus (Bank vole), 991 nucleotides. NCBI's taxonomy places the organism in Eukaryota, Metazoa, Chordata, Mammalia, Rodentia, Cricetidae. The record is from RefSeq and is a predicted model, not a curated record.